Molecule: long non-coding RNA, 1168 nt
Organism: Budorcas taxicolor (takin)
Lineage: Eukaryota; Metazoa; Chordata; Mammalia; Artiodactyla; Bovidae
Exons: 2
Source: RefSeq, a predicted model, not a curated record
UACCGUGUGUGGUCAGCUGGAGAGGGCAGUGCCCAGGGAGCUCAGAGCUGCAUGCACAGUGCCCCGAGUGCCAAAUCAGAAGGGUGAGGAGACAUGGAUCAGGCUUCCCUGGCCGUCAGACUCUGGGAGUGUUGGGGGUCCCAGGAGCACCCCAUACCCCGGGAAGUGCUACUUUCUGAGGGAAAGAGCCUUUGCUGAGGAGUCCAGUGGUAUGGGCUCCGGUCCAACUCAGCAGCCUGGGACCCUGGGGCCCCAGGUGUCUCUGCCGCUACCAGAUACCUCCUGCUUGGAGUCAACAAGAACCAGCAUAGAGCCAGCUCUGGGCUUCCCGGGUGGUUCAGUGGUAAAGAAGCUGCCUGCAAUGCAGGAGACGUGGGUUUGAUCCCUGGGUUGGGAAGAUUCCCUGGAGAAGGAAAGGGCAACACGCUGCAGUAUUCUUGCCUGGAUAAUCCCAUGGACAGAGGAGCCCAGUGGGCUAUAGUCCAUGCGGUUGCAAAAGAGUUGAAUGUGACUUAGCAACUAAGCAACAACAACAGAGCCAGUUCUGCACAGACUGUAUGACCUCGGGGAAGAUGCUGGGCUGUUCCCCACUGGCUCUUCCAGCUCUGUGCCCCGGAAGCUGGCCUAAAGCUGCACUGGUGGGCUCUCUCACCCUCUGGCUUCAGCUGGACGAGAGGAGAAUGUGGCCUGGAUGCCCUCCCUGCUGGACUGGGGCUUGGCAGUGGCAGAUGUCUCUCCCAGAGGCUCCUCGUGGGCAGCCGUCUCCUCCGGUUACAGCACACACCAGAUCCCAGACACCUAGAGCAGCAACAGCCCCCUGCUUUGCAGGCUCUGGGUGCCCAUCGGCCCUUGUGGGUCCCCCAACUCUGCUCAUACUUUUGUACAUUGUCUUUUCAUCAAGCCCUUCAGCCCCUGUUCUACAUGUGUCUUCUGCCUCUGAGCUGCCUGCAAUAUCACUGAACCCUCUGAGCUUGUUUCCCCAUCCUUAUGUUGGGGACCAUGAUGACAUCUGCCUCCAGAAUCUGGAAGAGACAAGGAAAUGGAUUCUCUCCUAGAGCAACGCAAAGGAACACUGCUUUGUAGACACCUUGAUUUAGCCCAGACACUGAUUUUGGAGAUCUGACCUCCGGGCUGUAAGAUGAUAAACUUAUGUUGUUUUAACCCACUA